GUGUAAUAUUUGCAGUGAUAAAAGUUAUUAAUUCCCAAAGAUUUGAAUUAACAAUCCACAGUGUUAAACAGUACUCGUGUUCAGUGUUGUUAUAUGGUGUAAUUUCACUUUUACACUAAAAGUGCGAAAUAAAAGACCCGCCGAAUUGUCUGGACUCCGCCCUUCAGUGACUGCUGCCUCGCGAAGCGACAACGCCAUCUUUUCUUCGAGCGACCGAUACGUUGGUCGUCCUCUCGCCUCUGUUCCCUCCUCGGCCUGGGCUUACUGCGAAUCUGGCGCUGAAGACUGAAGCUGCUAACGUUAUGUUCGAAGCCUCAGAAGACCUUCAAGGAUCCAGUUGACCUCUGAAUCAGCUGUUAAGAAAAUGGGACAGUUAUAUUGCUUCAAUUGGUCUCCUACUUCAUUUGAUUCCACCAUCAUUACAAGGCUGCAAGGGAUCUGGAAAAAUGUCAUCCUGUCAAGCUGAAAAACAUCUUCAAAAAGGCACUAACAAGAACAGCUUGAUUGCAGAGAAGAGACCACACAGCCAUACACGCUCACUGAUGGGACGAUGAGGAACAUCAUUCAUGGAUGCUACACAACUCAAAUCUACACGUCAUAUUUGUUCAUGUCUAGGUAAAUUUGAUGAUUUUGUGUUUUAUUAACUACUUUGUUUCUAUGCAACACUUAAUGAAUGUGACUGACUAAUUAACCUCUACACAUCUGGUAUAUGCUUUAAAGUUGCCACUUUGCCCAUUUGUUCAAUAAAUGUUGAAAUGUA
This is a long non-coding RNA of Cyprinus carpio (common carp), 760 nucleotides long. RefSeq lists it as uncharacterized. The transcript has 5 exons. NCBI's taxonomy places the organism in Eukaryota, Metazoa, Chordata, Actinopteri, Cypriniformes, Cyprinidae. The record is from RefSeq and is a predicted model, not a curated record.